This 626-nucleotide long non-coding RNA is filed under the name Vulpes vulpes (red fox). Its description in RNAcentral is "lncRNA (ENSVVUG00000010183.1)". The record is from RNAcentral. Lineage: Eukaryota; Metazoa; Chordata; Mammalia; Carnivora; Canidae.
CAUUAACCCAAGCAGUACGUUGUUAAGAGACAAGGUGGCUCAGUGUGACCAAGGCAGGAGGUGAGGCUGGCUGGUGUCUGAAGCCUAGUCCUGCUGGGGCCGGUUGAGAGCUCCUGGAGGGCAGGGCCAUGUCUUGCUCAUCAGUGCCAUCAUGUGGAGCAGGCCCUCACUUUGCGCCAGGCAAGGCUGGGUCCUGGGGACACGGGGGUGGGGGGGGCGGCACUCUGGGAAUGAGUGUUGAGUGAUUGGCUCUGCAGCAGACUCCCAGAGCUGUCCCAGAACCAUCGAGCACCAGAGUUCUUUCUGGAUGAAGUCUUCUAAAAAAUGGUUGUGAGCAUAGUCAACAUAGCAGACUGGUCAGGGCCCAACAUCAUGGGUUCAGUUCAUGGGGCCAGCAGCCCUAAGCCAACCCUGGCCCUUGCCUCCCUCUUGUCCUCCACCACCAUUCCUCUUGCAGAGCCUUACCCAGGCCCACCACACCGCUUCUCCGUUACCUCUUUCUCCCAAGGUCCUCACACACCGGGAGGCGGGAUGAGUUUAAGUGACUCAACCAAGACCACACAGUAAGAGGAGAAAUGUUGAUUUUUUCAAAUAAAAAAAAAAUUUUUAAGAUUCUAUUUAUUGGA